RNAcentral lists this long non-coding RNA (1185 nucleotides) under Homo sapiens (human). RNAcentral describes it as "HSALNT0408797". The record is from RNAcentral. Lineage: Eukaryota; Metazoa; Chordata; Mammalia; Primates; Hominidae.
GGGACGGCGCAAGGUGGCUGAGCGAAGCUUUUUGCUCGGUGCUUACAGGGAGUACCUGAGAUGGUUUGGGAAAGGAAACAGGGGGUCUCAGACCGCUUGGGUGCAGCGCUCUCCCCAUGCGUUUGAGUGCAGAUCUGUCGAGACGCCCCAGCCCUCGCCACCCCACCAAGCUCUCAGCUGCCAUGUUAUGAGGACACUUGGAGAAAGCUACAGGAGAGGAACUGAGGUCUCCUGCCAUCAGCCACUUGAGUGAGCAUGGGAGUGGAUUCUCCAAACUCCAGUUAAGACUUGAGAUGUCCACAGUGGCAGCCACUAGCUUGACUGCAACUUACGAGAGACCCUGAGCCAGAGGCACUCAGUUAAGUCAUACACAGUUUCCUGACCCGUAAAACCUGUGACACAAUGAAGGUUUGUUGUUUUGGGGGUAAUCCGUUAUUCAGCAAUAGAUAACGAAUACAGAAGGCUUGUAAUUGUAUAACCAACGUGAGUUUAUAAGCGGAUAUCUGACCUCAUUUGUUUUCUCCUGAAAAAGUUAUAGAAAAAUCACAAGACUGCAAGUCACUCUCUCUCUUUCUUUUGUGGGGAAUAAACAAGUAUAAUUACAAUUUCUAAACCUAUUGUUUUAUUCUCAAAUAUAAUUACAAUUUAAACAGGAUAUUGUAGAGCUCCAUCAUAGGGAUUAACACUAAUUAGAAUUAAAGAACGUUUUUGUGAAAGUCAGCUUUUUUUUUUUAAAUAAACACUCGUCCCUUGAUAAUGUAUUUCUUUUUCAUAAAAUUAAAAAAAAAAUGUGGGUUGUAGUAGGUGUAUAUAUUUAUGUGGUACAUGAGAUGUUUUGAUACAGGCAUGACGUGUAAUAAUCACAUCAUGGAAGAUGGCGUAUCCAUCCCCUCAAGCAUUUAUCCUUUGUGUUACAAACAAUCCAGUUACACUCUUUUUGUUAUUUAAAAAUGUACAAUUAAAUUAUUAUUGGCUAUAGUCACCCUGUUGUGCUAUCAAAUAUUAGGUCUUAUUCAUUCAUUUAACUAUUUUUUUGUACCUAUUUAUCAUCCCCAUCCCCGGUUCCCUCCCACCACCCACCCCACUACCCUUCCCGGCCUCUGGUAACCAUCCUUCUACUCUCUAGCUCCAUGAGCUCCAUUGUUUUGAUUUUUAGCUCCCACAAAUAAAUGAGAACAUGUAAUG